GCCGCCGUAGCUCAGUGGUAGAGCACUCCCUUGGUAAGGGAGAGGUCGUGUGUUCAAUCCACACCGGCGGCACCA
This 75-nucleotide transfer RNA is filed under the name Tistrella bauzanensis. RNAcentral's name for it is "tRNA-Thr". It matches the Rfam family "tRNA". From Rfam's summary of the family: Transfer RNA (tRNA) molecules are approximately 80 nucleotides in length. Their secondary structure includes four short double-helical elements and three loops (D, anti-codon, and T loops). Lineage: Bacteria; Pseudomonadati; Pseudomonadota; Alphaproteobacteria; Geminicoccales; Geminicoccaceae. RNAcentral also lists the same sequence under 1 other name. The record is from RNAcentral.